Molecule: ribosomal RNA, 87 nt
Filed under: Pteropus alecto (black flying fox)
Lineage: Eukaryota; Metazoa; Chordata; Mammalia; Chiroptera; Pteropodidae
Source: RNAcentral
AUCUACGGGCAUGCCUCCCUGAAGCAGGGUUGGGCCUGGUUAGUACUUGGAUGGGAGACCACCUAGGAAGACCAGGUGCUGUAGGUG